ACUCAAAGGAAUAGACGGGGGCCCGCACAAGCGGUGGAGCAUGUGGUUUAAUUCGACGCAACGCGCAGAACCUUACCAGCCCUUGACAUGUCCAGGACCGGCACCAGAGAUGGAGCCUUCUCUUCGGAGCCUGGAGCACAGGUGCUGCAUGGCUGUCGUCAGCUCGUGUCGUGAGAUGUUGGGUUAAGUCCCGCAACGAGCGCAACCCCCGUCUUUAGUUGCUACCAUUUAGUUGAGCACUCUAAAGAGACUGCCGGUGAUAAGCCGCGAGGAAGGUGGGGAUGACGUCAAGUCCUCAUGGCCCUUACGGGCUGGGCUACACACGUGCUACAAUGGCGGUGACAAUGGGAUGCAAAAGGGCGACCUCUCGCAAAUCUCAAAAAGCCGUCUCAGUUCGGAUUGGACUCUGCAACUCGAGUCCAUGAAGUUGGAAUCGCUAGUAAUCGUGGAUCAGCAUGCCACGGUGAAUACGUUCCCGGGCCUUGCACACACCGCCCGU
RNAcentral lists this ribosomal RNA (499 nucleotides) under uncultured bacterium. Its description in RNAcentral is "partial 16S ribosomal RNA". It matches the Rfam family "Bacterial small subunit ribosomal RNA", at positions 899 to 1397 of the family's 1533-position model. The record is from RNAcentral.